UACAGAGGGUGCGAGCGUUAAUCGGAAUUACUGGGCGUAAAGCGCGCGUAGGCGGCUUCGCAAGUCGAGUGUGAAAUCCCCGGGCUCAACCUGGGAACUGCAUUCGAGACUGCGUUGCUAGAGUAUGGGAGAGGGAGGUGGAAUUUCAGGUGUAGCGGUGAAAUGCGUAGAUAUCUGAAGGAACAUCAGUGGCGAAAGCGACCUCCUGGACCAAUACUGACGCUCAUGUGCGAAAGCGUGGGGAGCAAACAGG
This 253-nucleotide ribosomal RNA is filed under the name uncultured bacterium. RNAcentral's name for it is "partial 16S ribosomal RNA". It matches the Rfam family "Bacterial small subunit ribosomal RNA", at positions 524 to 776 of the family's 1533-position model. The record is from RNAcentral. RNAcentral also lists the same sequence under 1 other name.